UUGAUUAAUAUAGCUGCAGGGACCGUCAAGCUCCCAAACAUGAGUUAGUUUAGUUUUUUCUCUCUCUCCGAAAAACAACAAUUUAAUGCCAGAGAAAUCUGAACGUGAUUUCGAGCUCUUGCUUGGUAGAAGGAAGGAGAAAGAGAGAGAAAACUAAGCAAGGUGAAGAGCGAGCAAACCGUUGAUUUAACAUCCUGAUUACGACCACAGGUGUCAACAAUCUGACAGAACUGUGAGCCCUAAAAUAACCCAACAGGGACUAUGACACAUGCUUUUAUAUAUGGAAACAGACAUAUAUGAAGAGGAAGGACCAGGUCACUAUAUGUUGUCACUGCUGAUGAGAAACAGCAGAUUACUAAGAGCAACAAUGGAGGAAACAUUUCUGCUUUAUCUCUUUCUGAUCUUAGUGCUGAGCUGUGCAGCAACUCAAGCUCGUCUGACUGUGAGUCCCAGCAGCUCUCAGCUCUUUGAAGGAGACUUUGUGUCUCUGAGCUGUGAGGAGGACGACAGCUCUGCUGGAUGGACUCUGAGGAGAAACACAAGCACGGAAAACAGGACUCAGUGUGGAGAUUGGUGGGGAAAAAAUUAUAGUUCUUCCUGUAACAUCACAGAUCUCUUUACAUGGGACAGUGGAGUUUACUGGUGUGAGUACAGAGAGGGUCCCAUCAGUAACAUGGUUAACCUGACAGUCACUGGUGGAUCAGUGAUCCUGCAGAGUCCUGUCCUCCCUGUGAUGGAGGGAGAUGACGUCACUCUGCUCUGUAAAACAAAGACCACUCCUUCCAACCUCACAGCUGCUUUCUUCAAAGAUGGCGUCUUCAUCGGAAAAGAGCCUACAGGUCACAUGACCAUCCAGCAUGUUUCCAGGUCUGAUGAAGGCCUCUACAAGUGUGACAUCAGCGGUCAUGGAGAGUCUCCAUCCAGCUGGAUCACUGUCACAGACCAACCCACCACCACACCUCCACCUACAUCCACACCUCCUCCUGGUUGCACCUCUUGUCAUCCAUCACCCUCCCUGCCUGUUGUCACUGUGUUGUCAUUCUUUUUAACAGUCUGUGUUGCAGCUUUACUUACUUUAAUAGUUCUGUUCAUUAAACUUUGUGUUGUUAGAAAACCUGAAGGUGACACUUGGACCUCUGGAUUUGACCCAGCCAAUCGACAGGAAGCUAAAGAAGAUAACCCAAUCAGUAACGUCUUAUAUGACAUCGGACAGAGCAGAGGGAUAAAUCGGGCUGCACUCUACUCAACAGUGAGGAAAAAAACACCACUUAUUUACAAAUCGUGAAAGACAAGAGAAACAAAUCAAAGCCAACAGAGUUUCCAUCAGAACCAGAUGCCAUCUCCCCUAGUCCACCAGUCCAACCACUGCAAUCCAGCUGAGGGUCUCGAAUUGGUCCACACAACACCCCAGAUGACAAUUACUUGUAUAACAGAUUAGUAGAUAUCUUCUUUUCUUUACAUGGAGUUAGAGUCACUCAACUUUUGUGAGACAAGAAAAUCAAUUCAACAGCGGAAAGAUUUCUUAUAAAAAAAAAACUUUAAAAAUGUAAACUCUAAAGACUAAAACAAAAAGCAAUAAUAAUAAUUGUCUUUAUCACCACAGCAAUGAUCUGGUUUCUCUGCAGGAUCGGUUAGCUUUGGUCUCAUUUCUUUGUUCUUCCCGUGUGGUUCUGUGGGUUUUACAAAGAUUUCUGAUCAAAAAUUUGAGGCGUUGUGGCAAACCAGUGCAGACUUCUGUUCACCUAACCAGACUGUAAACAGCAUGAACAUCAUUCAGACACUGCACAGAAUAUAUUUAAAACAAGCUGUACGUGUGUCUAUUUGUACAUUUUGAUUCAAGGAAAUUGAAUUUAUGAGACUUUCCUUCAGUUGUUUUUCAAACUAAGCAUGCCUCCAUAGUAUUAUAUCUUUUGAAUUAUGCAGCUGCACACAUUCAUCUGGACACAGGGUUUCUUGGACACUUAUAGAUUUUCUUUUAAACUUCUAUGGCUGAUUGCUUUGCUCCUACAUGGUUCUUCAGUUUAUUGCUAUUAUGUCAGUUUGAUCAAAGAAAAAGAAGUAAAUAUUACAUAUAUUGUGAGGAUAAAUGUUCAAACAGAUCCUGCUUUUGAUGCAGUUGCAAGUGCUGUGUUUGAUUGUGAUAUUUGCCUGUAAGUUGCACAAUUGUGAGUCAUUCUGUUGCUGUGUAUAAUUAAAUGAAAAUGAAAAAACAAAUGUAAUGCU
Oreochromis niloticus (Nile tilapia) is the source of this 2223-nucleotide long non-coding RNA. RefSeq annotates it as low affinity immunoglobulin gamma Fc region receptor II. NCBI's taxonomy places the organism in Eukaryota, Metazoa, Chordata, Actinopteri, Cichliformes, Cichlidae. The transcript has 8 exons. The record is from RefSeq and is a predicted model, not a curated record.